RNAcentral lists this long non-coding RNA (1209 nucleotides) under Marmota monax (woodchuck). The record is from RNAcentral. Lineage: Eukaryota; Metazoa; Chordata; Mammalia; Rodentia; Sciuridae.
GACAUUCCAAAGAAGAACUACCUGCUGAUUUACCAUAUUGACAUCCUGCUAAUCGGACCUGGUGAGCAAAAAGUGAAAAGGCCUAGUCAAACGGGGGUGUGCGAGAGAAUGCACAGGAUACUGUCACAUUGCUGAAGUUUUUAUGGUCCAUCCAUCUGGGAUAUUCCAGAACAUCUUCUGUAAGAUGACAGACAAGUUUCAGUACAUCAUGCCUUUUGCCACUAGGAAGGGGACACUGUGCUUGAUGAACCAGUUGGUGAGCCACUUUGGAUUUUGGAGGCAAUACAUUACUGCAUUUGGGAAUCCCGUUAUUCUCUACUUACUGGGUACCUUGGAAGACUUCCAAGUAGGGCUGAGAAGUAAAGAAGUUCAGCAGCAGAUCUAGGUCUCACUGCAAAUAUCUCCUGCCAUUUACAGAUUUGGGUCCAGCAGAUCUGAUGCUGUUGAGGGUAACUAGGGUGAGUAAGGAUGCUGGUUCGAAUCUCAGAUGAGCUCCAGCAGGAAAGUCCAGCACAGACUCCUAGGGUCCUGAAGCAAGGUGAGACUUUACCUUAUUCUCACCAGUCUUUACUUAUUUCAUUCCCAGGACCCACCAUCCCACUCACUUAUCCCCAUCAGAACCCACAAUUUCAACCCUACUUCCAAGUGCUGGGCUGUUUUCUCAGGGAAGCCAAUAUGCACCACAAACCUGGUCUUUGCUCUGUGGGGCAAGCCUAGAGCUCUCCUGAGACCCUGUAUACCUGUAUACCUGAUGUCCCUGAUAUGGCUCUGAAGAUCAGAGGGUCAAUUUAGUGGCUCUGCUGACCAAGAUGUUUGUGAUAGCAAAGGAUGCAGUACAGGGGUACUCUGGCACUUCAUCCAAAGACAUCAAAAAUAUCCCUGCUAGUAGGAUGCUCUCAUGUCCUGGAAUUCUAGGAUAAGAGUAUAAUAAACCCUAUGUGUCCCUGGUAAGUGUAAGGAGAGCCUUAUUAAAUGAGAUAUCUCAAACUUGAACCCUGCAAGUCACAACUGGUUUUUCCAAGACUGUGCACAUAACACAUAACACUGAUUUUAGUGAAAGCAAAGGAAAGCACACGCCACGCAGGCCAAUUGAAGAAAAUAAUAAUAAAAAAAAAGGUCACUGGAAUCCACUAAUGCCAGAAGGUGGAAAAGCUAAGCCAAUCAACAUGGUGUGCUGAGAAUUCAAAUGCACCCUACUCACAGACACAG